Molecule: long non-coding RNA, 1344 nt
Filed under: Cyanistes caeruleus (blue tit)
Lineage: Eukaryota; Metazoa; Chordata; Aves; Passeriformes; Paridae
Description: lncRNA (ENSCCEG00000005335.1)
Source: RNAcentral
AUUAGGUGGGGGCAUCUGGAUCAAGUGGGAUGAGUAGCUUUUUGAAAUAUAUUAAAAGAUCACUGCUGGAACUUGGCGCAACUCUUACGGAAACAAAUCUGCCUGUCCUCUACUCACAGAUGCAUCAAGAGAAUCCUUCUGUUUCCUCAGCAUAUCUGCAGUGUGACACCAGCUCAUUGCAUGUGCAGCCCUCUGCAGCUCUGCAGGAGCCCAUGGAUGUGCAGCCCUCUGCAGCUCUGCAGGAGCUGUGCUGGCAUCCAGAGCACUGUCAGAAGAAGCAGCUGCUGAGCAAGGCCUCAAGUGUAGAUUUAACUUCAAGGCCCUGCAAUCUUUGUUUCUGGUGAGACUGUUGUCCUGUUUAAAAGAGCGGACAGAUCUAAGCACCUUGUUGAAGCAAGGUGUAGUCAUAGGCAAGAAUCUAAAAAUCCAGCUUUAAGAAGGCUGUCAUCAAGUGGUUUGCAUCUCCACAGAAGUACAGAGCCAGAGGGCAGCUGCUACCUCUGUGCCUUGUUAUCAGGAGUUGUGUGUUGGCUCUGAAGGUAGCAAAAUCCACUAAACCAGAGAAUCUCUAGACAUACGUAAUUAUCAGCUUCCACUGAGUCCUGAUUUGGACACCUGGUUCCCUUUCUAGCUGGAGAACUCACGUGUUGAUAAUAGCUGCUCAUUUUACAGAAGAGAAACAAAGUCUGGAGGAGAAAAAAACCACAUUCCUAAUGGUAAUGUUUAUCAAAAUCUGGUUAAUUGUGGCCAAGAGUUUUGGUGGUCACAGACAAUGUGAAGGGGUAUUAUUUGUGGGAAAAUGUGAGCAGCUCACAUUUUUUUUGUUGGUUUACUAGCCCAGAUAAUUUAGAUUAGUCUGAUGGAAUGGACAGAUUAGUGCAGUUCAAAGUAUUUAUGGAAGUGUUUACUCCAUACUUAUUUUGUUUUGUUACACUCACUAGAUGAUAACCAGGUUGACCUAAACUAUAUAUCACAAUUCUCAACUGGAUUAUUUAUUGUUCCUGCUGCACUGUUCUUAAUAAUUUCAUGUAUGCUGUAAUCUCAAAAAUAGAUUAAUGGACUCUGUUGGAUAUAGUAAAGAGAAUAGUUUUGUUCAGAAGUGUCAUAAGACACACUGUGUAGAGAAUAUUUUCACAUGUUAGGCAGCUGCCUAGUGAAUUAAAUUCUGUAGCAGAGCCUUGAUCAGAUGUUUCUGGCGUCAAGCUGAACUGCUGGUGGCAUCAGUGCUCACUAAAUAAGUAAAUCCUGAUGUGUUUAAUGCAAACCUGAAAUAACAGUUUGGGAUGGUGGUAGUUUAAAUGUAGGUAGGAUUGGGAAAUGGACCCUGGGCAGGAGCAAGUUUUG